GGCCCUGCGAGGUCCGAGGGACUCAUUCUGAUGAAGGAAAGAGCGUCCCUGUGCAGCUGCGUGUCCUUCAGUUCUUUGGCUCUGAUUCCGUGUCUGGCUUCAUCUAAGUGGCCUGGUCCAUGGGCAGUGAAGAAAUGUAAAGUGCAAUAGCCCUCUGGAACAAGACAAUUCAUGUGAGAUAAGAAAGAAGAGCCCACAAGACCAAGGAUGUAUUCUCAGUUUACAGACCACUGACCAGAGGCCACUCCAGGGUGUCAGGACUAAGAGAAGUCACAAAACAGCAGAUUUCCCAAGAGCAGCGGAAAAUGAUCCAGUCACAGGUGGGUUAUCGGUUUAUCCUCUGUUUCAUGAAAAUGAUCCAGUCACAGGUGGGUUAUCGGUUUAUCCUCUGUUUCAUGAAAAUGAUCCAGUCACAGGUGGGUUAUCGGUUUAUCCUCUGUUUCAUGAAAAUGAUCCAGUCACAGGUGGGUUAUCGGUUUAUCCUCUGUUUCAUGAAAAUGAUCCAGUCACAGGUGGGUUAUCGGUUUAUCCUCUGUUUUGUGGGUGUUAUGAGGCUUACAGAAAUCUCUGCAACACACAGAAGGGUCUAAAUACAUUUAAAUAAGAGAAAAUAUAAACUUGGGAAAGAAGAUGUCCAAAGAAGCACAAAGUAGAUUAUAGAAACAUACAAAAGUCUCAGCUGGGCAUGGUGGCUCAUGCCUGUAAUCCCAGCCCUUUGGGAGGCCGAGGAGGGCAGAUCAUUUGAGGUCAGGAGUUUGAGACCAGCCUGGCCAACAUGGCAAAACCCCGUCUCUACUGAAAAUACAAAAAUUAGCCUCCCAGCUACUCGGGAGGCUGAGGCAUGAGAAUCACUUGAACCCAGGAGAUGGAGGUUGCAGUGAGCUGAGAUCGCAUCAGUGCACUCCAGCCAGGGUGACAGAGUGAGAAAAAGAAUCAUACAAAAGUCUUAAAGUUGGAAGAGAUCAAUAAGAAAUGGGAUCCUUCCCUGUUACAGAGUUGAACUGCAAGCUUUUCUGUUAUUUCCAGAAGCCAUAACAGAAAGGGAAGUAGGAAUAGUUAACGUGGGUUCCUCUUGUCAAAAGGAAAAAGCAGACAAAUUACUCUGGAGAAGCAAAUACUUCCGAUAAUUACACAUAAAGAAAA
Molecule: long non-coding RNA, 1143 nt
Filed under: Homo sapiens (human)
Lineage: Eukaryota; Metazoa; Chordata; Mammalia; Primates; Hominidae
Description: non-protein coding lnc-CHFR-2:3
Source: RNAcentral